Molecule: ribosomal RNA, 966 nt
Filed under: uncultured Alteromonas sp.
Lineage: Bacteria; Pseudomonadati; Pseudomonadota; Gammaproteobacteria; Alteromonadales; Alteromonadaceae
Description: bacterial SSU rRNA
Rfam family: Bacterial small subunit ribosomal RNA
Source: RNAcentral
CGGUAACAUUCCUAGCUUGCUAGAAGAUGACGAGUGGCGGACGGGUGAGUAAUGCUUGGGAACUUGCCUUUGCGAGGGGGAUAACAGUUGGAAACGACUGCUAAUACCGCAUAAUGUCUUCGGACCAAACGGGGCUUAGGCUCCGGCGCAAAGAGAGGCCCAAGUGAGAUUAGCUAGUUGGUAAGGUAACGGCUUACCAAGGCGACGAUCUCUAGCUGUUCUGAGAGGAAGAUCAGCCACACUGGGACUGAGACACGGCCCAGACUCCUACGGGAGGCAGCAGUGGGGAAUAUUGCACAAUGGGGGAAACCCUGAUGCAGCCAUGCCGCGUGUGUGAAGGAGGCCUUCGGGUUGUAAAGCACUUUCAGUUGUGAGGAAAAGUUAGUAGUUAAUACCUGCUAGCCGUGACGUUAACAACAGAAGAAGCACCGGCUAACUCCGUGCCAGCAGCCGCGGUAAUACGGAGGGUGCGAGCGUUAAUCGGAAUUACUGGGCGUAAAGCGCACGCAGGCGGUUUGUUAAGCUAGAUGUGAAAGCCCCGGGCUCAACCUGGGAUGGUCAUUUAGAACUGGCAGACUAGAGUCUUGGAGAGGGGAGUGGAAUUCCAGGUGUAGCGGUGAAAUGCGUAGAUAUCUGGAGGAACAUCAGUGGCGAAGGCGACUCCCUGGCCAAAGACUGACGCUCAUGUGCGAAAGUGUGGGUAGCGAACAGGAUUAGAUACCCUGGUAGUCCACACCGUAAACGCUGUCUACUAGCUGUGUGUGUCUUUAAGACGUGCGUAGCGAAGCUAACGCGCUAAGUAGACCGCCUGGGGAGUACGGCCGCAAGGUUAAAACUCAAAUGAAUUGACGGGGGCCCGCACAAGCGGUGGAGCAUGUGGUUUAAUUCGAUGCAACGCGAAGAACCUUACCUACACUUGACAUGCUGAGAAGUUACUAGAGAUAGUUUCGUGCCUUCGGGAACUCA